UAGGAAUCUUCCACAAUGGACGCAAGUCUGAUGGAGCAACGCCGCGUGAGUGAAGAAGGUUUUCGGACCGUAAAGCUCUGUUGUUGGUGAAGAAGGAUAGAGGUAGUAACUGGCCUUUAUUUGACGGUAAUCAACCAGAAAGUCACGGCUAACUACGUGCCAGCAGCCGCGGUAAUACGUAGGUGGCAAGCGUUGUCCGGAUUUAUUGGGCGUAAAGCGAGCGCAGGCGGAAGAAUAAGUCUGAUGUGAAAGCCCUCGGCUUAACCGAGGAAUUGCAUCGGAAACUGUUUUCUUGAGUGCAGAAGAGGAGAGUAGAACUCCAUGUGUAGCGGUGGAAUGCGUAGAUAUAUGGAAGAAUACCAGUGGCGAAGGCGGCUCUCUGGUCUGCAACUGACGCUGAGGCUCGAAAGCAUGGGUAGCGAACAGGAUUAGAUACCCUGGUAGUCCAUGCCGUAAACGAUGAGUGCUAAGUGUUGGGAGGCUUCCGCCUCUCAGUGCUGCAGCUAACGCAUUAAGCACUCCGCCUGGGGGAGUACGACCGCAAGGUUGAAAC
This 553-nucleotide ribosomal RNA is filed under the name uncultured bacterium. Its description in RNAcentral is "partial 16S ribosomal RNA". It matches the Rfam family "Bacterial small subunit ribosomal RNA", at positions 356 to 900 of the family's 1533-position model. The record is from RNAcentral.